CCUACGGGUGGCUGCAGUGGGGAAUAUUGGACAAUGGGGGCAACCCUGAUCCAGCCAUGCCGCGUGUGUGAAGAAGGCCCUCGGGUUGUAAAGCACUUUCAGUGAGGAAGAACGCCUGGUGGUGAAUACCCAUCAGGAAAGACAUCACCCACAGAAGAAGCACCGGCUAACUCCGUGCCAGCAGCCGCGGUAAUACGGAGGGUGCGAGCGUUAAUCGGAAUUACUGGGCGUAAAGCGCGCGUAGGUGGCUUGAUAAGCCGGUUGUGAAAGCCCCGGGCUCAACCUGGGAACGGCAUCCGGAACUGUCAAGCUAGAGUGCAGGAGAGGGAGGUAGAAUUCCCGGUGUAGCGGUGAAAUGCGUAGAGAUCGGGAGGAAUACCAGUGGCGAAGGCGGCCUUCUGGACUGCCACUGACACUGAGGUGCGAAAGCGUGGGUAGCAAACAGGAUUAGAUACCCCUGUAGUC
This 465-nucleotide ribosomal RNA is filed under the name Vreelandella stevensii. RNAcentral's name for it is "partial 16S ribosomal RNA". It matches the Rfam family "Bacterial small subunit ribosomal RNA", at positions 338 to 795 of the family's 1533-position model. Lineage: Bacteria; Pseudomonadati; Pseudomonadota; Gammaproteobacteria; Oceanospirillales; Halomonadaceae. The record is from RNAcentral.